Molecule: ribosomal RNA, 537 nt
Filed under: Oslerus osleri
Lineage: Eukaryota; Metazoa; Nematoda; Chromadorea; Rhabditida; Filaroididae
Description: eukaryotic LSU rRNA
Rfam family: Eukaryotic large subunit ribosomal RNA (bases 469-537)
Source: RNAcentral
UACGUCUGGUUCAGGGUUGUUAAAGACAACUACAUAUCACAUAUUCUAAAUGAAUCACAUCAUGAAUAUUACGUUUUUCAACGUGAAUGACAAUGUGAACGUGAUAUAUGUGAUUGUUCGUCAAACGGUACUUGAAGUCGUCAUCGUUAUACACGUCGACACAAAUCCCGUUUUAGUUGAAGAAUGAAGCGAUAGCAACAUAUAGUAAUAUGCGUGUAUAUACCGUAUAUUAUUACACCAAAUGUGUAUCAAUGUACGAAUGAUUCGUAUGUAUGCUGAAUGUUAACGAUAUUAUCAUUACUCUACUACCAUCGUCGAUGAUAUACCAUUGUAGUUGAGUGUCAAGAGAUGGUUCAUAAUUUCAAUUUUCGUCGAUGGGAUGACAUGCGUUAAUGAGUGUGAGUAAUGAGGUGUAUAUACGAAGCAUAUGAAGAAAAUCGUAUGGAUCGCUUUCAAUUCCCAUAAAUGCAACCUGAACUCAAAUGUGAUUACCCGCUGAACUUAAGCAUAUCAUUUAGCGGAGGAAAAGAAACUAAA